Molecule: unclassified non-coding RNA, 1969 nt
Filed under: Monomorium pharaonis (pharaoh ant)
Lineage: Eukaryota; Metazoa; Arthropoda; Insecta; Hymenoptera; Formicidae
Description: ribose-phosphate pyrophosphokinase 1, transcript variant X5
Source: RNAcentral
GCGAUAAGGGGAAUCUCGAGCUUUCCACGGUGGAUAAUAAUUCACAACUAUCAUGCGCGAUACGGUGCCUUAGUCGCAACGCCUCGGCGUAAUUCGGCCGGAGUCUAAAGGCACGUGGAAAGCAUUAUCGGAGACAACGAGAACGCGUCGGAUGCGAGGCGGGCAGAAAUGAAUGGCAAUCUGAAGAAGUGUAAAGUCACCCGGGGAUCUCAGUGCGACCGAGAACCCGGAGCCGCACACGCGCAUCGUGUGAUGCCCGUGUCGCAGCCAGUACGUGCCAAGAGUUUGUUACGCGCAAACUUGGAAAACUCACGCGUGCGAGUCUUGCAGAGCAGAAUGCCCAACAUCAAGGUCUUCAGCGGCACCUCGCAUCCGGAUCUCGCCCAGCGGAUCGUCGACCGCCUCGGCAUCGACAUCGGCAAGGUUGUCACCAAGAAAUUCAGCAACCUCGAGACAUGUGUGGAGAUAGGAGAGUCUGUCCGUGGGGAGGAUGUGUACAUCGUGCAAAGUGGAAGUGGCGAGGUGAAUGAUAAUCUUAUGGAGCUUUUGAUCAUGAUCAAUGCUUGCAAGAUUGCUUCUGCUUCUCGAGUAACGGCAGUUAUUCCUUGUUUUCCUUAUGCAAGACAGGACAAGAAAGACAAGGGCGGUGAUGGUGGAGACUCUAAAAAUCAGAUUGUCAUGAAGUCGAACGAGUGGAAAUUCAGGAGUCGCGCACCAAUUUCCGCAAAGCUAGUUGCGAAUAUGCUUUCCGUGGCGGGUGCUGAUCACAUUAUCACAAUGGAUCUGCAUGCUAGUCAAAUACAAGGAUUUUUCGACAUCCCAGUAGACAACUUAUUCGCCGAACCAGCUGUACUCAAAUGGAUUAAGGAGAAUAUUGUUGAAUGGCGAAACAGUAUCAUUGUCUCCCCUGACGCUGGCGGUGCCAAAAGAGUCACAUCUAUCGCAGAUCGAUUAAAUGUCGAGUUUGCGCUCAUACAUAAAGAAAGAAAAAAGGCGAAUGAAGUUGCGAGCAUGGUAUUGGUGGGAGAUGUCAAAGACAGAGUUGCUAUUCUUGUAGACGAUAUGGCUGACACUUGCGGUACCAUCUGUCACGCAGCAGAAAAGCUGUUGGAAGCUGGUGCCACGAAGGUUUAUGCAAUACUUACACAUGGUAUCUUCAGUGGGCCAGCCAUUAGUAGAAUUAAUAAUGCUUGCUUUGAGGCUGUGGUAGUCACCAAUACUAUUCCUCAAGAUGGCCACAUGAAAGAUUGCCCAAGGAUUCAGUGUAUUGAUGUUUCGAUGAUGUUUGCUGAAGCAGUAAGGCGGACACACAAUGGUGAAUCUGUAUCGUACUUGUUUUCAAAUGUACCGUAUUAGAUGGAAAUCUUCCGUAAUCUACUUUAAACAAUCUCAUAAGAAGGAUCUGAAGUAUUCCUGACCAUUAUGCAACCAUUAUGCAAUGAAGUAGAUAUACAUUGACGUUAUCUCGUUUGAAGAUUUAUGAUUUUUGAAUACCAGCAGGUUUCACACGAUUCUGCACCGUCGACAAUAACUCGACACAUCCAGCUCGUAUUCCAGUGCAGACUAGGUCUCCAUGACCUACAGGAGGAGUAUGCGUUAUGAGGAUAUCUGUGUCAGAUGGAAUCAUUUCCCAUUUUGAGAGGCACGCUUCUCCACGUGGCACGUUAAAUGCCCACUUACAAAACUCUGGUUGCCUAAAGUUUCAAUGAAAUGUAUCCCUCAGAAAUAAGAAUCUCUUAUACCUGAAAUUAUUUUCUACAAAUAUUUCAUAUAAUGUUUUCAAGAAAGGCAAGCACCAAUUUUUUUUUUAUACAAUCAUGAUACAAUGACAUUACAUCUCAAGUAAACACAUACAUCAAUGAAAUUUUAGAUUGGUUAUUUAAUUUUGGAAUAUCUAAGCAUAAAAUAUGAAAAUGUUUUUGUAAAUGCAAGCUUAACAUUUUUGUAUAAAUCUCAUGAAUAUAUGUUA